RNAcentral lists this ribosomal RNA (495 nucleotides) under uncultured bacterium. RNAcentral's name for it is "partial 16S ribosomal RNA". It matches the Rfam family "Bacterial small subunit ribosomal RNA", at positions 28 to 507 of the family's 1533-position model. The record is from RNAcentral.
GACGAACGCUGGCGGCGUGCCUAAUACAUGCAAGUAGAACGCUGAAGGAGGAGCUUGCUUCUCUGGAUGAGUUGCGAACGGGUGAGUAACGCGUAGGUAACCUGCCUGGUAGCGGGGGAUAACUAUUGGAAACGAUAGCUAAUACCGCAUAAGAGUAGAUGUUGCAUGACAUUUACUUAAAAGGUGCAAUUGCAUCACUACCAGAUGGACCUGCGUUGUAUUAGCUAGUUGGUGAGGUAACGGCUCACCAAGGCAACGAUACAUAGCCGACCUGAGAGGGUGAUCGGCCACACUGGGACUGAGACACGGCCCAGACUCCUACGGGAGGCAGCAGUAGGGAAUCUUCGGCAAUGGACGGAAGUCUGACCGAGCAACGCCGCGUGAGUGAAGAAGGUUGUCGGAUCGUAAAGCUCUGUUGUAAGAGAAGAACGAGUGUGAGAGUGGAAAGUUCACACUGUGACGGUAUCUUACCAGAAAGGGACGGCUAACUACGUG